Pezoporus flaviventris is the source of this 313-nucleotide long non-coding RNA. RefSeq lists it as uncharacterized. The record is from RefSeq and is a predicted model, not a curated record. The transcript is spliced from 2 exons. NCBI's taxonomy places the organism in Eukaryota, Metazoa, Chordata, Aves, Psittaciformes, Psittacidae.
CCGCGCAUGCGUCCGGGCCUUGCCGGGGCUUUCCCGGUGCGGCAUUUCCCGGGCUGGGCGAUGCUGGCGGGGGGCGAUUCUUCCCUUCCCGGUCCCGGUGCUAGGCACUCUAUAUAGGCUGCGGCGCGCACUAGGGCCGCCUGCUGUGAGAGGCUCGGCCGCAGACCGUUUUGUUCUGCCCGAAAAAAUUCAAUGAUUGAAACUAUAAAUACUUACAGUUUCUUCUUGUGAACACUCAGCAUAAAUAUGGAGGCGUAGGCACCUUAAAGGGACAUCGGUCUGAACUCUGGGAGGUAGUUCUGUGCACAAAGAA